CAAAGAUGUCAGUAUCCUGUUUGAUAUCCUGUACUAAGUCAUGUAAAUCUUUUAUAUGUUUAUGGAUCAUAGUGCCAUGGUCAGAUAGGUUAAAAAAAAGCACAUACCUUCAAUAGCUUCACAGCCUAAGCCAUGUUUCAUUAGUAAGUAGUCAAUAGCUGCACUAUUCUCAAGGAUUGCUUUCUUAUUUGCAUGGGUGUCCAUAAGUAGCUCUUCUAAGGCCCUGGGAAGUGGCUUUUAAACCCUUUGCAAGGGAACAGGCUACAGCAUUAAUUACUCGGGUAUUAUACAGUGCUAAGCGUGGGACUCCUACCAUAGAGGGCAGAGUAUUCG
This is a non-coding RNA of Pelobates cultripes (western spadefoot toad), 333 nucleotides long. The record is from the annotation of a GenBank genome assembly. NCBI's taxonomy places the organism in Eukaryota, Metazoa, Chordata, Amphibia, Anura, Pelobatidae.